Molecule: ribosomal RNA, 486 nt
Filed under: uncultured bacterium
Lineage: Bacteria
Description: partial 16S ribosomal RNA
Rfam family: Bacterial small subunit ribosomal RNA
Source: RNAcentral
AUUGAACGCUGGCGGCAUGCCUUACACAUGCAAGUCGAACGGCAGCACGGGUGCUUGCACCUGGUGGCGAGUGGCGAACGGGUGAGUAAUACAUCGGAACAUGUCCUGUAGUGGGGGAUAGCCCGGCGAAAGCCGGAUUAAUACCGCAUACGAUCUACGGAUGAAAGCGGGGGCCCUUCGGGCCUCGCGCUAUGGGGUUGGCCGAUGGCUGAUUAGCUAGUUGGUGGGGUAAAGGCCUACCAAGGCGACGAUCAGUAGCUGGUCUGAGAGGACGACCAGCCACACUGGGACUGAGACACGGCCCAGACUCCUACGGGAGGAAGCAGUGGGGAAUGUGGGACAAUGGGCGCAGGCCGGAUCCAGCCAUGCCGCGUGCAGGAUGAAGGCGCUCGGGUUGGAAAAUGCUUGUGUACGGAACGAAAAGCCUUCGGGUAAGACAGGAGGGGCAGGACGGGACCGGAAGAAUAAGCACCGGCUAACUACGUG